CAGUUUCUCGGUCCCUCUCUCUAGAUGCUCAACGCCGCCCCCCCCAGUCCAACCCCGCGUCUCUGCCCCUACCCCCAAGAGAAGGAGGGGGCGGGCCUUCGAUCGGUCUCCCACCCGGAGCAGGCCCGCAGGCUCCGCAGGCCCCGCAGGCCACGCCCCUCGGCGCUGCCCGGACUCGGUCUGGGCCCCGGGGCGGCUCCCACAGCGACCCCGGCGCUCCAUUGGCCGCCGCUUGCGUCGCUCCGCUGCGCUCUCCGGAUUGGUCGAGCCCUCGAGGGGCGGGCCUACGAGGAAGGCGGUGGUUGGCCGGCAGGGAAGCCCUAUAGGGGCGCGGCACCGGUUUUGAAAGCGAGGCUGCUGGGAAGACUCGUGUAGCAAAGGUGCUCCCGACUCCGAGUCCUUCUGCUUCCCGGACGCGGCGACAGACCGGCGAGUUGCCAUGCAGUCUCCCAACAGCACCCUUGGGUACAGAGCUAGCUUUGCCGAAGAGGCAAAGGUCAUUUCGGAGCAGCUGCAAGGUCAUGGGGGAACAGAUAUAUCUACCAUAGAGGCCGAGCUCCCACCUCCCGACUUGACUUCUUCUGCUUCUUUUCUGGACCUACCAACCAGUAACCAGAUCCAAGUGCAACCCAGUGACAGCCCACUUCCCCCCCCUGUUCUAGAUCCUAAGCAGGAGCCUUCCUCAGCCCCCCCCAGUGACCAGGGCCUUCUGUUUCUCAAAGGGCUGCCAGCUUUGGAGGAGGCUGCCAGCCCUGACGAUCCGGUCAGAUGGCAGCUUAACGUGACCAUGGAGCUCUGUAGCCUGUCCCCUGAUGCUGUACAGGCUGGUGAUCCCUGCUCCUUGGCCCCCCAGCCAAGCACUGAGCUCAAUAAGACCUGUCUGCUUAGCUCAGGCACUCCCCUGGCUGAAGCAGCCCAGCCAGAAUGCAGCCAGGCUCCAGAUGACGGGGCCAGUGGGGAAGGGGCUCUGCUCAAAGUGCAGGACCUCUCAGACACGCCCAUCAAUAAGACUUUCUUGUUUAGCAGGGCUACCUUUGUGACCUCCACCCCACACGAAGCUUCGGAAGGGCUGAAGCUGCUCAAAGGGGCAUCUCUUUUCUCCUUCCCAGAGAGCCCCCAAGCUCAGGAAGCACCCAGUGUGGCUGAGGCAGCCCAGCCCAGUGCCAGACGCCCCCAGAGGCCUCGAGUAGCCACAGGCAGCCCGCCUAAGGCCACCCCAAAAAGUGGCCCUUUGGGAAAGAUGGGCCAGGAGAAAAGAUCCCUGGGUGGGGCCUCUUUAGCUGUUUCCAGGAGGGGGCAUCAGGCCCUUCCUUUGCCUGGGCAGAAAAGAUGGUCAGCUGUCCCCUUCAGAACCUCUGGCUUGCCUGUCCUGUUCAAGUCCAGAAGGGAACCCUUGGCAUCUCCAGGAGCUAGGCAGCAGAAAGGCAGGAGCAGUGAGGCGGGCAGGAUGAAGGAAGCAGAGCCACCCGCCAAAGCAGGGAAUAAUCCGCCCUCGGCAGUCAAGGUGUCUCAACUCCUCCACAGCAAAUCGGUGCCACCUCGCUUCUCCGUGCAUCAGAGAGGUCCCAGUGCUCGGGACCCGAAAUCCAGGGACCCUCAGGCAGCUCGAAUUUUGAAGCCCUUGCCUUCGAACCAGGGCACCCAAUCCAGAGUCCCGGCCAGGACAGAUGAGCAGCCCCCCAAGCAGGACAGGAAGCCCCAGCCUUCUUCAGGACAGACAUGCCCCCAGUGCCUUGUGCUGCAGAAGCAAGUGGAAGACCUCAAAAGCCAACUAGGUAUGGAGGGCAGGGGCGGGCGGGCAGGGCAGCCCACUUGUCUCCAGCAGCCAAUCCCCCAGCUUCUUCCUGGCAGAAGGCCAACGGCAUGGAGUGGGAAAGGGGGGUAUAGAGUGGGGGGUGGGGAUGAGAAGUUAGAGCAGAGAGAGGCAAGCUAG
Molecule: long non-coding RNA, 1933 nt
Organism: Phascolarctos cinereus (koala)
Lineage: Eukaryota; Metazoa; Chordata; Mammalia; Diprotodontia; Phascolarctidae
Source: Ensembl